CCCUUAGAUGUUCUGGGCUGCAUGCGUGCUACAAUGGCGUUUCCAGCAAGUCUGCGAACCCGAGAGGGCCAGCGGAUCUUCGAAUUGGCGUCGUGAUCGGGACAGUCGAUUGCAAUUAUUUGACUCAAACGAGGAAUUCCUUGUAAUCGCGAUUCAUCAUAUCGCGCUGAAUACGUCCCUGCCCUUUGUACACACCGCCCGUCGCUCCUACCGAUUGAGCGAUCCGGUAAAUGUUUUGGAUUGGUGCCGGGGCGGCUAGCUGCCGGUCGCUACGAAAUUUUGUGAACCUUAUCGCUUAGAGGAAGGAAAAGUCGUAACA
RNAcentral lists this ribosomal RNA (319 nucleotides) under uncultured eukaryote. Its description in RNAcentral is "partial 18S ribosomal RNA". It matches the Rfam family "Eukaryotic small subunit ribosomal RNA", at positions 1470 to 1796 of the family's 1831-position model. The record is from RNAcentral.